This 289-nucleotide ribosomal RNA is filed under the name uncultured bacterium. RNAcentral describes it as "partial 16S ribosomal RNA". It matches the Rfam family "Bacterial small subunit ribosomal RNA", at positions 775 to 1067 of the family's 1533-position model. The record is from RNAcentral.
GGAUUAGAUACCCUGGUAGUCCACGCUGUAAACGAUGAUAACUCGUUGUUGGCGAUAUACGGUCAGCGACCAAGCGAAAGCGUUAAGUUAUCCACCUGGGGAGUACGAUCGCAAGGUUGAAACUCAAAGGAAUUGACGGGGGCCCGCACAAGCGGUGGAGCAUGUGGUUUAAUUCGAUGAUACGCGAGGAACCUUACCAAGGCUUAAAUGUACCACGACCUCCUGGGAAACCAGGAUUUCCUUCGGGACGAGGUACAAGGUGCUGCAUGGUUGUCGUCAGCUCGUGUCG